Molecule: ribosomal RNA, 254 nt
Filed under: uncultured bacterium
Lineage: Bacteria
Description: partial 16S ribosomal RNA
Rfam family: Bacterial small subunit ribosomal RNA
Source: RNAcentral
UACGAAGGGGGCUAGCGUUGCUCGGAAUCACUGGGCGUAAAGCGCACGUAGGCGGCUUGCUAAGUCAGGGGUGAAAUCCUGGAGCUCAACUCCAGAACUGCCUUUGAUACUGGCGAGCUUCGAGUCCGGGAGAGGUGAGUGGAACUGCGAGUGUAGAGGUGAAAUUCGUAGAUAUUCGCAAGAACACCAGUGGCGAAGGCGGCUCACUGGCCCGAUACUGACGCUGAGGCACGAAAGCGUGGGGAGCGAACAGG